This 839-nucleotide ribosomal RNA is filed under the name Staphylococcus arlettae. RNAcentral describes it as "bacterial SSU rRNA". It matches the Rfam family "Bacterial small subunit ribosomal RNA", at positions 659 to 1479 of the family's 1533-position model. The record is from RNAcentral. Lineage: Bacteria; Bacillati; Bacillota; Bacilli; Caryophanales; Staphylococcaceae.
GAAUGCACUUCCAUGUGUAGCAGAUGAAACUGCGCAGAGAUAGGGAAGCACACAGCCAGUGGCGACGGCUGUCUUUUCUCGUCUGUAACUGACGCUGAUGUGAGAAAGCGUGGGGAUCAAACAGGAUUAGAUACCUGGUAGUCCACGCCGUAAACGAUGAGUGCUAAGUGUUAGGGGGGUUUCCGCCCCUUUAGUGCUGCAGCUAACGCAUUAAGCACUCCGCCUGGGGAGUACGACCGCAAGGUUGAAACUCAAAGGAAUUGACGGGGACCCGCACAAGCGGUGGAGCAUGUGGUUUAAUUUGAAGCAACGCGAAGAACCUUACCAAAUCUUGACAUCGUUUGACCACUCUAGAGAUAGAGUUUUCCCCUUCGGGGGACAAAGUGACAGGUGGUGCAUGGUUGUCGUCAGCUCGUGUCGUGAGAUGUUGGGUUAAGUCCCGCAACGAGCGCAACCCUUAAACUUAGUUGCCAGCAUUUAGUUGGGCACUCUAGGUUGACUGCCGGUGACAAACCGGAGGAAGGUGGGGAUGACGUCAAAUCAUCAUGCCCCUUAUGAUUUGGGCUACACACGUGCUACAAUGGACAAUACAAAGGGCAGCUAAACCGCGAGGUCAUGCAAAUCCCAUAAAGUUGUUCUCAGUUCGGAUUGUAGUCUGCAACUCGACUACAUGAAGCUGGAAUCGCUAGUAAUCGUAGAUCAGCAUGCUACGGUGAAUACGUUCCCGGGUCUUGUACACACCGCCCGUCACACCACGAGAGUUUGUAACACCCGGAAGCCGGUGGGAGUUACCCAUUUAUGGAAGCUUGCCCGGUCGAGAGGUGGGCUUAAUCCCCUGG